GUCUAUGUCAUACCAUCCUGAAGGUACCUGACCACAUCUGUUCUAGGAUGCUAAGCAGGAUCAGGCCUGGUUAGUAUUUGGAUGGGAGACCUCCCCAGAAUACUAUGUACUGUAGGCU
Molecule: ribosomal RNA, 118 nt
Organism: Cricetulus griseus (Chinese hamster)
Lineage: Eukaryota; Metazoa; Chordata; Mammalia; Rodentia; Cricetidae
Source: Ensembl